Long non-coding RNA from Sander lucioperca (pikeperch), 1228 nucleotides. RefSeq lists it as uncharacterized. Lineage: Eukaryota; Metazoa; Chordata; Actinopteri; Perciformes; Percidae. The transcript is spliced from 2 exons. The record is from RefSeq and is a predicted model, not a curated record.
UGUAUAUAUAUGAUCUAUUGGAUCAUUAUUUAGAUUUUUGGAUGAGUCAAACUCUCAUCUGAGAAAGCCAUGCCCCAAAGAGACUAAAUUUCCCAUCACCUUCUACUGAGCCACAUAGUAAUGGGUAGAGUCAGGCUACCAGGCAUAGAGACCAGUGAAAGCAACACAGAACAAUCACAAGUUUGGUAUUAUUACAGAGUGCUCAGACUGUAGGUGGUCUAGCCAGGCUAGCGGCAUAGCUGAUGGCAAUGUCGGUCAUCGACCACUUUGGUCCAGACUGAAAUAUCUUGACUAUUAAAUGGAUUGUCAUGAAAUUUGGUAGACCUACAGAUAUUCAUGGUGCCUAGAGGGAAAAAUCCUGCUGACUUCGGUGACCCCCUGACAUUUGCUCUAGGUUGACAUUCGCCAUUUUUAAGUGAAAUGUCUCGACAACUCGCCAUCAUCAGGUCAAAUCUUUGUUUAUGACUUAAUAUCUGCGACACUAAUGACAUUUACGACAGCCUCAGCUGCACCUUAGUGUUUAGUGCUACACAACUGCUAAACUACUAAACAUCACCAUGUUAGCACUGUCAUUGUCAGCAUGUUAGCAUGCUGUAGUUAGUAUUUAGCUCAAAGCACCACUGUGCAGCCUCACAGAGCCACUAGCAUGGCUGUAGACUCUCAGUCUUGUUAUUUAAAGUAGUUUAAGUGGUGAAUGAUUGUAACCUGACUUUGUCCAUUUCAAAUUGACCUUAGUCAAUUACUGUUCGAUAACAAAUGCCAGAACACAAACUCAGGAGAAGAGAUGGUGAAGUUAGUGACAUUUUAAGUUUGUAUGUAUUUCUUAAUUGAUUCGAAAUUGCAUUAAUUUUUGUCCUAGUGUACAGUGACAAUAGAUGGAGCAGUCCUUUCAAAGGAACACAAAAACAGAGCAAAAUAUGCAGAAUAUAUGUAAAAUCAAAUCAAAGCUUAAUACGUCAUUGUUAUCAUGUUUAUUAUAUGUGUAGCAAUGACCUGGAAAAAAAAUCUAGGGAGUGAAUUUUGCAGGCAUUGUUGCAGUUUGCCUUGAGGUGAAACUAUUCAGAUGGAGAUGAGGAGAGUAAAUAGCAGCCAGCCGUUACUCUGACUUGAGGGGUGACAUUGGGGAUCAUCAGUGUUGCCUGGCAGCAGUGAUGAAAGUGAAAAACGAAAGCCUGAAGACAAAUGUGCAGCUGGAACCUGAAGCAGUUAAUGAUUGAAACCCCCCCCC